AUGGUGAUGAUGAGAUGACGAUGAUGAUGAUGAGAUGAUGAUGAUGGUGGUGGAUGAUGGUAGUGGUGAUGAUGGUGAUGAUGAUGGUGAUGAUGGUGGUGAUGAUGAUGAUGGUGGUGAUGAUGGUGAUGAUGAUGGUAGUGGUGAUGAUGGUGAUGAUGAUGGUGAUGAUGGUGGUGAUGGUGAUGAUGGUGAUGAUGAUGGUGAUGAUGAUGGUGAUGGUGGUGAUGAUGAUGGUGAUGAUGAUGAUGAUGAUGGUGAUGAUGAUGAUGGUGGUGAUGAUGGUAGUGGUGAUGAUGGUGAUGAUGAUGGUGGUGAUGAUGAUGAUGGUGAUGAUGAUGACAGUUAGCAAACAAUUGGCUUAUCUUAUAGAUAAACAAUUUAGCCUAUAUCACUUUUACACAAAAAUAUGAUAAACAAAUAAACACUCGCACAGCGAUACUGGGACACAUUUAACAGACCAGUGUGUUAUCUUUACUACUUCAGUGCACUCUCUCUCUCUCUCUCUCUCUCUCUCUCUCUCUCUUUCUGUCACUCUGUUUGUCGCUUUCUGUGUCUGUGUGUUUCCCUCGGUCUCUCUUUCUCUUGUAUCUCUAUUUCUCUCUGUCU
Ictalurus punctatus (channel catfish) is the source of this 609-nucleotide long non-coding RNA. The record is from Ensembl. NCBI's taxonomy places the organism in Eukaryota, Metazoa, Chordata, Actinopteri, Siluriformes, Ictaluridae.